UACGUAGGGGGCAAGCGUUGUCCGGAUUUAUUGGGCGUAAAGAGCGUGUAGGCGGCCAUACAGGUCCGUUGUGAAAACUGGAGGCUUAACCUCCAGACGUCGAUGGAAACCGUAUGGCUAGAGUCCGGAAGAGGAGAGUGGAAUUCCUGGCGUAGCGGUGAAAUGCGCAGAUAUCAGGAAGAACACCCGUGGCGAAGGCGGCUCUCUGGGACGGUACUGACGCUGAGACGCGAAAGCGUGGGGAGCGAACAGG
RNAcentral lists this ribosomal RNA (253 nucleotides) under uncultured bacterium. RNAcentral's name for it is "partial 16S ribosomal RNA". It matches the Rfam family "Bacterial small subunit ribosomal RNA", at positions 524 to 776 of the family's 1533-position model. The record is from RNAcentral.